This 1159-nucleotide ribosomal RNA is filed under the name Enterococcus durans. Its description in RNAcentral is "bacterial SSU rRNA". It matches the Rfam family "Bacterial small subunit ribosomal RNA", at positions 28 to 1159 of the family's 1533-position model. Lineage: Bacteria; Bacillati; Bacillota; Bacilli; Lactobacillales; Enterococcaceae. The record is from RNAcentral.
GACGAACGCUGGCGGCGUGCCUAAUACAUGCAAGUCGUACGCUUCUUUUUCCACCGGAGCUUGCUCCACCGGAAAAAGAAGAGUGGCGAACGGGCGAGUAACACGUGGGUAACCUGCCCAUCAGAAGGGGAUAACACUUGGAAACAGGUGCUAAUACCGUAUAACAAUCGAAACCGCAUGGUUUUGAUUUGAAAGGCGCUUUCGGGUGUCGCUGAUGGAUGGACCCGCGGUGCAUUAGCUAGUUGGUGAGGUAACGGCUCACCAAGGCCACGAUGCAUAGCCGACCUGAGAGGGUGAUCGGCCACAUUGGGACUGAGACACGGCCCAAACUCCUACGGGAGGCAGCAGUAGGGAAUCUUCGGCAAUGGACGAAAGUCUGACCGAGCAACGCCGCGUGAGUGAAGAAGGUUUUCGGAUCGUAAAACUCUGUUGUUAGAGAAGAACAAGGAUGAGAGUAACUGUUCAUCCCUUGACGGUAUCUAACCAGAAAGCCACGGCUAACUACGUGCCAGCAGCCGCGGUAAUACGUAGGUGGCAAGCGUUGUCCGGAUUUAUUGGGCGUAAAGCGAGCGCAGGCGGUUUCUUAAGUCUGAUGUGAAAGCCCCCGGCUCAACCGGGGAGGGUCAUUGGAAACUGGGAGACUUGAGUGCAGAAGAGGAGAGUGGAAUUCCAUGUGUAGCGGUGAAAUGCGUAGAUAUAUGGAGGAACACCAGUGGCGAAGGCGGCUCUCUGGUCUGUAACUGACGCUGAGGCUCGAAAGCGUGGGGAGCAAACAGGAUUAGAUACCCUGGUAGUCCACGCCGUAAACGAUGAGUGCUAAGUGUUGGAGGGUUUCCGCCCUUCAGUGCUGCAGCUAACGCAUUAAGCACUCCGCCUGGGGAGUACGACCGCAAGGUUGAAACUCAAAGGAAUUGACGGGGGCCCGCACAAGCGGUGGAGCAUGUGGUUUAAUUCGAAGCAACGCGAAGAACCUUACCAGGUCUUGACAUCCUUUGACCACUCUAGAGAUAGAGCUUCCCCUUCGGGGGCAAAGUGACAGGUGGUGCAUGGUUGUCGUCAGCUCGUGUCGUGAGAUGUUGGGUUAAGUCCCGCAACGAGCGCAACCCUUAUUGUUAGUUGCCACCAUUCAGUUGGGCACUCUAGCAAGACUGCCGGUGAC